This is a long non-coding RNA of Aedes albopictus (Asian tiger mosquito), 512 nucleotides long. RefSeq lists it as uncharacterized. Lineage: Eukaryota; Metazoa; Arthropoda; Insecta; Diptera; Culicidae. The record is from RefSeq and is a predicted model, not a curated record. The transcript is spliced from 3 exons.
UGACAUCCAAGAGUGCCAUGUGUCAUCGCCGGUGGUGAAACCCAUCGAACGUCCACCCCACCUCCAGAAGAGUGUCCAACCCCUCGUCCCCUCAUAGUUUUAUUUUGCACGGCUAUCUGUGUGAUUUUCCCACAAUCCUGUAGUGCGCCGAAAUAGUUUGCCAGAGCAUCAAAGUAACCCGUCCCACCACCGCCCGGAUCGAAUCCGCCGCAGAAUCAGAGAAGAGAGAGCAGAGAUUACACCGUAGCUUUUAGUGUUCGGAAAAGUGGAAAAUUUUCAUCGAGGGGUUUUCAGUGUGUGUAAGUGGGUGUUUGUGCGCCGUUUUGGGUAGUUUGGAGUGAGCAGAGGGAGCGAGAAGACCCGAGGAAACCGCGGCCAAUACACGGCGAAGCAACAGAAGCAGCAAUAAUGGGCAAGAAGAAUUCGAAACUAAAGCAGGACACCAUCGAUCGGUUGACGACGGCGACAUACUUCACAGAAAAGGAAAUUCGACAAUGGCACAAAGGAUUCCU